UGGAAAGCCAUAUAAAAUUACUGUUUUUCUUCUUUAUAAUAAUUGUCCUUGUCCCGAAUGGUGUAGACGGAAAUAAAGUUUGUAAGCUAGAUCCUGUAAUCGGACGAUGUAAACCAGGCUCAGAAAUAUUUCAAAGAUUCUAUUACAAUUGGAAAACGGGACAAUGUGAACAAUUUAGAUACGGAUGUGGUGGAAAUAGUAACAAUUUUAAAAGUAUUGUUGAAUGCCAGGCUGCUUGUCCGUAAGAUAUGUAUUCCAGAAAGAGUUUGAAAUUACAAAUUCACACAAUUUCUCCUGUGUUUAACGUUUAUUCACCAAUUAAUGACGACUCGUAUUCGACUGAUUGACGGCUAUAUAGUUACUCGGCAAUACCAUGGUAGUAUUAUUGACAAGAGUUAUAAAACCAGUGCUAAUGCGCAUGUGCGCAAUAUUCCCGAAUUGAAGUGAAAAUUAUACUCGAGUGACUCUCAAAAUAACUCGAAUAAUUCAAGCCCUCACCGUCACCGAUUCUCUCCGCCUCCAAAUGGAGUGAUCGUAGUGAUCGGAAUAUAACGACUGUGUUAUUCGACUUACUCUCAAAAUGGAAUAUAUAGCAGCGGUUGUGAAUUUUCUUUUUAGUGACGUCGACAAUGGAAACCUUAUGUACAAAUUUGUAAUUGUAAUAAGAUUGAAGAUCUUCUAUCAUU
Mytilus californianus (California mussel) is the source of this 686-nucleotide long non-coding RNA. RefSeq lists it as uncharacterized. NCBI's taxonomy places the organism in Eukaryota, Metazoa, Mollusca, Bivalvia, Mytilida, Mytilidae. The transcript has 3 exons. The record is from RefSeq and is a predicted model, not a curated record.